CUGGCUGAGAGGGGACAUGGUCUAGACAUGCUGUGUUUAUUCCAGGAAACCAUAUAAUGAUGUUUCACAUGGCGACUUUAUAUAAAUUCAAGCUUACUGUCAAAGGAUUCCCAGGCAGGAGAGAUUUUAUGUGAUGGCAGAGAAGGCGACUUCAACAGAACAAAAUAAGCCGGUGACAGGAAAACUGAGACUGCCACCUCCUCAGCCUGCGGUGGCAAAGAACUGGCACAGUCAAGAGGAUCGGGAGAGAAAAGAAGAGGAUGGAGUCUGGUCUUCCCUGCGGGUUCCUUGGAGAAACAGUCUCCAUCUGCUCAUCUGGGCCCUAUCUGACAGUCAACAGACUUUACCAUUUCCUUCUAUACUCUACUGUACAUGACUCUGAGGAAGGCAAAACUCGAGGGCACACCCAGAGGGAGCGUGGAUCUGAUGAAAAGCAAAGCGAGAUAAGGACUUUCCAGAAAUGACUCAACACAUGCAAAUAUGAGCUUUCGGAUGUUCCUCCUACUCCCUGCAGCCAUGCUCUCCACAGUCAUUAAAACCUCUCUCUCAUUUACUAUGUGAUGAAGGGCUACUUACACCGACUUCAAGUGCUCGUCAUUAACUCCCAUUCCAAGUUUCGGACUCACAUUUAAAAGGUUUUGGUUGGAAGUAAUAAACUGACAAAAAAUGUGUUUUCUGUCACUUUGUUGAGCAGCAGGAGAAUAAGGAAGAAAUGUCAGUCACAUUUGUCAAAUGAUGUCAAGAUUAUUCUAUAAAGUCUGAAAUUAAUCAUUUCUUGAACAGAUGGGAUCAUAUUAUGCAAGAAUUACUAAAAUUUGCAGUAUCACUGUUGAGGUUAUUUUACAGCUUAUGAUUAAGCAGAUGAAACAUAUGGAAUAACAGCAGUGCCAUUAUCUAGUUAUCUUGCCCUACAUAUCAGACAAACAACUGCCCUUCUACUUGUCUGUGCUCUAUGGUGCUGAGUGCUACAAAAGAUGACCGGGAGAUUAGGAUUGGACCAAACUGUUGGCUGAAACUUAAGCUUAUAUCCAGCAUUUCAUAUCAGAUGUUGACACCCUGUACUGUCCCUUAUGGAUAUAAUGAGUGCUUGUUACAACUAUUCUUGGCUCACAUUUAGUCAAAAACUCAGUCUAGAACAAAUUGCCUCUAGGGAGUGUAUAAAACCAAAAUACCUGUCAUGUUACAGGGACUGUAUGUAAUUACCUCUGUGUAAUUAUCUGUGUGUAAUUACCUCUUCUUAUUAGGUUACAAUAAUCUAUUAAAAAUUCA
Long non-coding RNA from Oreochromis niloticus (Nile tilapia), 1269 nucleotides. RefSeq lists it as uncharacterized. The record is from RefSeq and is a predicted model, not a curated record. The transcript has 3 exons. Lineage: Eukaryota; Metazoa; Chordata; Actinopteri; Cichliformes; Cichlidae.